Molecule: RNA transcript, 2861 nt
Organism: Falco peregrinus (peregrine falcon)
Lineage: Eukaryota; Metazoa; Chordata; Aves; Falconiformes; Falconidae
Gene: SLC25A43
Gene name: solute carrier family 25 member 43
Exons: 6
Source: RefSeq, a predicted model, not a curated record
CUGGCCGCGCCCCGCCGGGCCGUACCGGGCCGUGCCGUGUCGCUGCCGGCGCCCGCAGUGCCGCCGCGCCGCCGGCCGGUCCGCCGGGCCUCGGGCCAUGGCCACCUGGCGGCGGGACGGGCGGGUGACCGGGCUGCAGCGGCUGGGCUGCGCCGGGCUGGCGGGCGCGCUGAGCCUCAGCCUGACGGCGCCGCUGGAGCUGCUGACGGUGCUGGCGCAGGUGGGCACCUGGCACUGCCGGCGGGGGCUGCGCGGCGCCGGGCGCAGCCUGUGCCGCACCGAGGGCCUGCGGGCCCUCUGGAAGGGCAACCUCACCGCCUGCCUCCGCCUCUUCCCCUACAGCGCGCUGCAGCUCGCCGCCUCCCGCCGACUUGUUAUACUUUUCACGGAUGAGCUGGGUCAUAUUUCCCACUGGAGAGCCAUCAUGGCAGGAAGUCUGGCUGGCAUGGUUGCAACCAUCGUGACUUACCCCACUGAUGUAAUUAAAACACGUCUCAUUGUGCAGAACCGACUGGAACCAUCUUAUGAAGGAAUUCUUCAUGCUUUUUACAAAAUUUAUCGUCAAGAAGGACUCCUUGCACUCUACCGUGGUGUUUCACCAGCUAUAUUAGGUGCUGUCCCAUUUUCUGCAGGCUCAUUCUUUGUUUACAUAAAUCUGGACAAAAUCUGGAGAGAACCCAUAGUUCAUUUCACUCCUCUUCAGAACUUCAUAAAUGGCUGUGUAGCAGCUGGUGUGGCACAGACACUUUCUUUCCCCUUUGAGACUGUCAAGAGGAAGAUGCAGGCCCAGAGUCCUUGGCUUCCCCACUAUGGAGCGGUUGAUGUCCAUUUUACUGGCAUGGCUGACUGUUUUCGGCAGACUGUGAAGAACAAAGGUGUGCUUGGACUUUGGAGUGGACUCACACCCAGUCUGCUCAAGAUUGUCCCAUACUUCGGUGUUAUGUUUAGCACCUUUGAAUUCUGCAAGCGGGUCUGUCUGUACAGGAACGGUUAUAUUGAAUCCCCUUUAAAUUACAAGCUAACUCCUGGGGUGGACCAGAGUUUACAGCCACAAGAACUGAGAGAAUUAAAGCUCCUUCGAAGGGAAAAUUUUGAACCAAGGAAAUCAGCUUUUGAAAACUGACAUCAGAGUGUCCAUUGCAGAUAUACAUACUACCUUUCUUAAGGAACUUUGCAAGAAAGACAUGCUGAGCUACAGUGAUACCGUAUGGACGUGGCAUUCUGCAAAUGCAGAAUUAGUCUCAGUUCAGUCACACUCCAGAAUCCACUCUUUAUUCUUGAGACUUAUUUAAGAAUAAUGAUUUUAUAUGAAUCUUUGGUGUAGAGAUGAAAAUAUGCUGCUGCAACUUUGAUUUUGCUAAGAGAGAAUUGCAGUGUGCGAAAUGAACUGUAAUACACUGGAAUGACAAUCUUGCAAACUUAAGUGCAUACUGGAAAAUCUUCCCCCUUUUCUCCUGUGUUGUUCCUGUGUGUAUGUGAAUUAUUUCAGGCUUUGACAACUGGUUUUCCUGAAGUUCUCUAACUGAAAUAUUUCCUGAAAAACGCAGUUCUUAAAUGUGUUAGAUAUUUCAGAGCCAUAAGCCUUGUCAUGUUUUGCUAUUCUUAAAGCUCUAUUUUUAUAUUAAACUACUUUUUAGUUCCUAUGCGUAGACCCAGCCCUACUGUGCUGCUCAGAAUUUACCAGCAGAAUAGCACUGUGCACACAACCCGUGAUUUUCCCACUUCCAACUGUUGUGAUCUGGGAGCCACAGAUUAGUUCCUGUAGGUAGGAACCUCUGUGAGACCACUAGGUUAUUGCCAGUGGCAAUGCCAUUGGUAGUCCUCUGACCAGUGCAGGGAGCUUUUGGACAAUAAAAGAUCAUUGGUAUUAUACCCGAGGACCUGGGGUAUUGCUCCGGUUCCUUUGUGGAAGUACAGCCGUGGAAGAGCCCCAUCCAAGUGCCUUAAAGCCCAUGUCUGCGUGGGAAGGUGCCUCUGCCCUCGGCGUGCCCCACCAGCCUCGGGCUGUGGCAGCCUGUGAGUGAAUCACAGCAGCCAGCGAGGCAUGUCCACGCCAGCUGAGCUCCUGCCCUAGCUGCAGCACCCUGGCUCAGCACAGGAUUUGCCUGCUGGUUUACACGGCUCUAUGUGCGUGUUUUUGUACCAUUUAUGACCCUGCUGGGUGGAAAUAAGUAAAUCUCAGAAACUGCUUGGUUAAGCCAGGUCACAGCGGGAUGAGGCAGUGGCAGAUCGAUGCAAGAAGUCUGUGACUACGGAGAGAGAUUUGCAGAAAGGUUUGUGAUAAGUAAGGCCUGCCUUGCACCUAGAACUCAACAUUGAUGUACCCUACAGCUAGUCCCUUAAAUGUGCUUGCUCAGUUCUGCUGCAGUGGUGCUUCGUAUUGGUUUUCUUCUUAGAGAAGAAAUACAAGCAUGGAUAGCGAGAAUUAAGGUUGUAGAGAGCAGAUCUGGUGGCUCUUGCAUCACACUGAGGCUGUAAAUGCCUUUGGCGCUCUAGUCAACCUGCCUAGUGAACAUGCUUCUCCGUGCCUCAGUUUCCCCAUCAGCACAGUGCAGGUAAUAAUACUGAGGCUUAUUUCAGGUGUGUGAAUAAGGAGAUGUGACUUGUGGGCAUGUUGGGGACAAAUGGAUUUUCAGAGUGGCCUUACCUCGUCCAAGCAUACCUGUAUGUUUUUCACUAAUGUUGUAUUUCUAAAUAGAUUUUAAAGAUUGACUGAUGGGUGCAUAUGAAUGUCUGAUCAGCUCUUCAAAACUGGUAAGAGUCAAGCGAGUCAAGAAAUUACCCCUACCUUGUUUCUGAUAUGCUGAUAGCACCUUUGUAUUGUAAUGCACUCCUGCAACUAUAAAUCACUUACUAACCUG